This 301-nucleotide ribosomal RNA is filed under the name uncultured bacterium. RNAcentral describes it as "partial 16S ribosomal RNA". It matches the Rfam family "Bacterial small subunit ribosomal RNA", at positions 509 to 809 of the family's 1533-position model. The record is from RNAcentral.
CAGUCGCCGCGGUAAUACGUAGGUGGCAAGCGUUGUCCGGAAUUAUUGGGCGUAAAGGGCUCGCAGGCGGUUUCUUAAGUCUGAUGUGAAAGCCCCCGGCUCAACCGGGGAGGGUCAUUGGAAACUGGGAAACUUGAGUGCAGAAGAGGAGAGCGGAAUUCCACGUGUAGCGGUGAAAUGCGUAGAGAUGUGGAGGAAUACCAGUGGCGAAGGCGACUCUCUGGUCUGUAACUGACGCUGAGGAGCGAAAGCGUGGGGAGCGAACAGGAUUAGAUACCCCCGUAGUCCCUGUCUCUUAUAA